RNAcentral lists this ribosomal RNA (497 nucleotides) under uncultured bacterium. Its description in RNAcentral is "partial 16S ribosomal RNA". It matches the Rfam family "Bacterial small subunit ribosomal RNA", at positions 28 to 507 of the family's 1533-position model. The record is from RNAcentral.
GAUGAACGCUGGCGGCGUGCCUAAUACAUGCAAGUCGAGCGAACAGACGAGGAGCUUGCUCCUCUGACGUUAGCGGCGGACGGGUGAGUAACACGUGGAUAACCUACCUAUAAGACUGGGAUAACUUCGGGAAACCGGAGCUAAUACCGGAUAAUAUAUUGAACCGCAUGGUUCAAUAGUGAAAGACGGUUUUGCUGUCACUUAUAGAUGGAUCCGCGCCGCAUUAGCUAGUUGGUAAGGUAACGGCUUACCAAGGCAACGAUGCGUAGCCGACCUGAGAGGGUGAUAGGCCACACUGGAACUGAGACACGGUCCAGACACCUACGGGAGGCAGCAGUAGGGAAUCUUCCGCAAUGGGCGAAAGCAUGACGGAGCAACGCCGCGUGAGUGAUGAAGGUCUUCGGAUCGUAAAACUCUGUUAUUAGGGAAGAACAAAUGUGUAAGUAAAUAUGCACGUCUUGACGGUACCUAAUCAGAAAGCAACGGCUAACUACGUG